Molecule: unclassified non-coding RNA, 1053 nt
Filed under: Leishmania donovani
Lineage: Eukaryota; Euglenozoa; Kinetoplastea; Trypanosomatida; Trypanosomatidae
Description: gene:unknown
Source: RNAcentral
ACACCCACCACUACAAGCACCCCCGGUACAGCGAAGCACCGGAUCCGAAGUUGCGCAGCUAGCCAUGCAGGACGCAUACAACGCUGCGUGCGCGACGUUGCUCCGCGAGCAGGAGGCCGUUUCUGUCAAGCAGGACGUCACCCGACUUUUCGACUUCUUGGAGGCAAUAAAGAACUGCCACGGCAGCAGUUAGAAGCUCGAUUGUGGCUGCGAGGGCAUCUCCGCGCGCUCCUUCGCGCUGCGGCUCGCGCUCUUUGGCAAGCGGGCGCAUCCCCUUUGGGGCAACGGCACGCCUGGCAUGCACGCCGGAGAUGUGUUUAGCUGUAUCAGCGGCUCGGGCUGCAUCAGCAGCAUCCUGUGCACUUACUAGCAGGCGAAGAAGGCAAUCGCCGGCAUCUUCAUGAUUGCUGGUGGCGCCGGUGAUGUGCCCCCGAAGGACUCUGCGUGCACCACCAACACCCUCCUUCGUUCCCGCGAUGGUGCACCGUCGUACUUCCACGGAGGUGGUGCACCCUGAUCAGUCGAUGGGCAGCCGGUUCGAGUACGACUUGUCUCUGCUGCGCUAUUCGGCCGUGAUACUCUUGGAGGAGAUGCAGCGGGCGCAUGACGAAAUCGAGCGCCGCCGCUGCAGGGGCGGAGUCCAACGAAAGGUAGCGCAUGCGCAUAUCGACAUGUGAGCCUCUUUUUUGCGGGCGCCGUGCCGCUUCCCUCUCCCUCUUUUCUAAUUCUCUGUCUCCGUCUUACGAUAGCGACAAAGAAAGAGGGUGAUGCGGCAUCGCUGGUCUCUCCCCCCCACACACACACACAUACACACACACCACUCUCAGCGCUCUCUCUCUAUCGCCGCUCGCUCCCUCGACCCUUCCCGCGUUACCGUGCCCGAGGGGAGUUGCCCGUGCGCGGUUCGUGGUGGACUUGCUGGCACGCUCGCACUCGGUACCUCUCCAUGUGAGCACCGCUCCAUGUUACUUCUUCCUGCUGCCUUGUGUCUCCUCUGCCUGCUCCUCUUCGUACGCAUUUGUGCCCCGAACAACACGCACGCACAACAACAAG